CGGUGGGUAGCCGCUCACUGAGCACUUACUGUGGGCCAGGCCGGGAGGAGAGCGAUUGAUGAGGUCCGGCCGGCCCAGGGGUCAGGGCCGAAGGGCUGCUGGCAGGAAGCGGUCAUCAUCAUCCGGGACUCCCAGGGGCCCUCAGGCUUAGGAUUUCCCCGACCCCAUACCAGGCUGAGGGCCAAGGAUGAGACGAUGUGGAGCGGCAGGACCACGUCCUGGGGCACCCUGGUGUCGCCCAUCCUCCCAGGCCUCAUAGCAAACACACAGGGCAGCACGCCCCACACCCAUCUGAGGGCCCGGGCCGGGGGAUCCUGCCUCUCAUGACCCUGAAUUCAGAACAACUGUGUCCACCGGAGAGUCAGCCAAGGGUCACAAAGGAGGGCCAUGAAGCCUUAGCCCGUGCCUGCUGUCCCCGCUCACGCCUGUCCAUCCUGGGGGAUCCUUGAGCUGCUGUCAAGUCAGGGAAGAGCCUGGCUCUGAGCUGUGGGGCCCACUCCAAGCCGUGGCUCCAGAGACGGGGGCUCCCAGCCCCACUCUGCCCCAUCACCCUGUGUAAUGAGGGAACCUGGGGAGCGUACGGUUCCCUUAAUCAUCAGGCUCAGGUGCAGAGAAGGCCUCUACCCACCUGGGGGAAUUCCACCUGCCAAGGCUUGGGGAGAUUUUAAACUGUGGUGAAUGAAGUUAAAAUGAGCCAGUCUGGAGCCCCCGCCCUCCUCCAGCUCACAGACACUUGGGCAGGAAGUCUCACACCUUCGGAGGGAAACACCUCCUCCAGGAGGCCUCGGGGUUGACUCCGGGCCACAGGGAGCGUUUCUGUCUUUCCCACCCACAGCACCAACUUCUCUAGCAGCCUGGACCCCAUGCCCAGGGAGGCCCAAAGAGCUAGGGGACGCGGCUCCCUGCCCUUCCACACCAUUCACACUGGUCAGACUGGAGAAGCCUGGGGCAAGCAGGGAGCAAGGGCCCCGGGGCCCUGGGGAGGCCGAGGGGUGGGUUCUGCUCUGGACCAGCGGAGCCAGCAGGGCCCUGAUGCACCCUCUCGAAGUCACCUAGUGUCCAGGGACAUUUAUCAGGCUGCCAGAACAGGAACUGUCCUCCAGCUGCCUCUGCCCCCACCCUCAGCCUGACACCCCGGCCACUGACCCAGCCAGGAGUGGGGAAAGCCAAGACUCUCUGAACGCCACCCCCUGCCUGUCUCAGCAUGGGACUUCUUCCUUCAAGUGAGGACCUCCCCCAACCCCCUCCCCACCGCAGACCAUGCCACUUCAUAGUAUCGGGAGGGGUGCGCUCAAGCUUCCCGCUCCUGUGCAUCUCUCCUCACACUCAUCACCCUCUCUGGGCCCUCCUGUGAGAAGAUACCAGAGUGCCAGCUCUCAAAGGGCAGAUUCUGUGCCAAAGGCCCUCUUUUGUGUCCCGUCCUACCCCCAUCCCCGCCUCGAAAGGCCAGCCCCCCAUCAGGCGCCCUGUGAGUCAGCUCCCGGUGAGCAGGGCACAGACUUCCUCCCUCCCAGGCCUCCCUGGGGACACAAGGGGCAGCGGCAGGCUCCCCCCAGCCAGCCAGGGUGGGGGCCCACAUCCGGGCAGGCCCCCAGGGGCUCUGGGCCUGGCUCACGAGGAAGCCUGCAGCCCGGCCCCCCUCGCCGACCCCUGUCAGGGUGGCGUGGGAGGAAAAACCUUCCAGCCAUCUGCUCAGCUGCCGGGUUUCCGGCCGAGGCGGGGCCGGGACGCCAGGAGGACCCGCUCUCCCGGGGAAGUGCCCCUUGCCCCUGCUGGGAGGAGGGACACAAGAUGAGCCGCCCAGGGGAACCCUGGAGUCCCGACUGAGGAACGCAGGGCGCCCAGGCCUCGGGGCCCAACUGAGCAGGUAUCCAGCUGUGGCCUCUGGACCUGCCCAGUCCCCAAGGGACCUGGGAGGGGGGCCGGAAGAGAGGGAGCUGGGGCACAGGGCUCCUGGGUCCAAUUAGGCCUGACUCAGCGAGUGACCCCAGCUGAGUCACUUCCCCUGGGCAGCCUGCCCGCCUCAGUUUCCUCAGGGAGGGUGGGAGCUGGGAACAGGGUCUGCUGGGAACCAGCCGCUCGCUCGGGUUGCACCUCUGCACUCUACGGCAGGCUUCUCUGUCUGCCAGAUGGAAGUGGCUCCCUGCCCCGCCCAGCUGAGGAUGCUGGCACCUGGGCCCUGGGGACCGUUCUCCCAGGAAACCUGGCAAUUAAGUGCCAGCCCCCUUUGGGCAUUAAUAGCAUAGCUCAAACUUACUGAGCGCUGACUGCAUGCCAGGCCCCGUGCAUACCUCCUCUCAAAACAACCCUAUCCUGUAGUCAUUAGUACUCCCAUGUCAGAUGAGGAGAACCAUAGCUCAGAGAGGUUACGGGACAAGCCCAGGGUCACACAGCCAUAGCAAUUACAGCCAACACAGUUCGAGUCCCUACUCUGUGCCAGGCCCAUGCACUUUGCAUAUGAGCUCACAUACAGACAUAUACCCUGGGGAAGUGGGGACUCUUGGCCCCUACUGGCCAAGUGAGGCCCAGAGAGAUCAGGUAACUUGCCUAAGGCCUCACAGCUAGAAGCUGACAGAGCCCAGAUUUGGCCCCAAAGCCCAUGCUGCUACCAGGGAAAAGAGAGAGCUUAACAGGAAAGGCCUCUUCUUGUAAUAACAACAACAACAAUAAUAAUAUCUAUUAUUAAUUGAGUGCCAGGCCCAGCUUUAUGUGCUCCGUCUCCCCGCUAGGAGUGGGCAGCACUGGGACUGGCCACUGGGAGGUCCCUCCGAGCGCCCCCAGCCCCACCCCGUCUUCCCUCGGGGAGGCUCCGUUCAGGAGGCGGAGGGUGUCCUGAGGUGGCCCAGCUGGACCCAGACGUCCACGGGCCCCCACAGGCUGAACCGCCGUAUCUGGAGAGGUUCCAGAGGAUCUGACGGGGGUUAGGAAGUCCUGUUUAUCGGAGAAAGAUCAAGCCCAGGGUGCAGAGGGGUGGGGGUGGGGGUGGAAAAUCAGAAGGAAACAAGCAGAGCUGACAUCCGUGUCGAACCAGAUAAUGCCCAUCUCCUCACUGCUCCUCGUCACUCCUCCUGACCAAGCCGUUCUAAACACUGUGACUUCACUCUUUACGGUUCCAACGACCUUACGACACAGGUACUAUUAUCACACCCACUUGACAGAUGAGGAAACUGAGGCUGGCGUGGUCAGGCAAGGCCGCACGGCCAGGAAGCACCAUCACCUCCUCCUGCCUGGGUCUUCAGAAUUCCUCUCCCAGACUCGGGACCCCGAGAGCUGCAGGUGCAGGAGGCGCUCCAGGGAAGCUGAGGAACGACAUUCCACGACAGUGACCACGACGCUAACGGUGGUGACGAUAAAACCACCCCCCACACCUGUACGUGGACCUUUCUCUGCCAGGCAGCAGGUGCUUUUCACACACUGACUUAUUAAAUCCCUACCACGAACUUGUUAUUACCCCAUUUCGCAUAGCGGGAAACUGAGGUCCGUUAAGUGUCACUUGCCCGCGACCUCAGCUGGAAAGAGACAGAGGGAGAAUGGAAGUCUCCAGACCCUCCUCUGCUGAGCCUCCUGACGGUCCUCAGACCCCAGCAGCGGAUACCGCCGGCUGCCGCCGUGGCCCGCAGGGACUCGCCAAGUUCUAGGAAUGCUCACCCUUUGGCUCAGAAGGAUUUCCCCUCCCAUAGAGGGGGUUGUGGGAAAGGCUCAGAAAAACCGUAUUAAAAACCCUUCCAACUUCCCCAACGGGCCCUGGCCUCUCAUCUGCUGACCCCAGCCGCCCAGGCGGCCUCGCCUGCUCUCCCCCCAUCAGGGCUGAGUCUCUGGCCCCCGCAGGCCCCGGGGAGCCUCCAGCGCCGUUUCCGCUCUGGCAGCCAGGUGGACAAAGAGUUACGGGAUGGAGAGCCGGAAGGGGCCGUCAGACUGGAGGCUCGGUGACAGCGACCCUGAGGAGCUAACAUCUGAGCUGAGACCACCCCUCCCCCCACCCCAGGGCAUGAAGAAUCCAGGCGUGACAAGGUCUGAGGGAAAGGUGUUCCAGGCCAAAGGAACAGCCAGUGCAGGGGUCCGGAGAUUUCUCUGAGGCCCGAAGCGGUUUCCUUUCUCGCUGAAUUUCUUCUCGCCGCGCGUCCCCUCCAGCGUCCAGUUUCUCGUUUCAGCGCUCUCCGCGAUGGAGACGUCGCACCUUCGUUUCUGUUUUCCUUAGAAAGGCGAGAGGUUUCCGAGGAGCCCCUGCCGCCGCCUUGCCCUAGAUUCGGAGAGCCUCGCAGCUCGGCCCGUGAUCGCAUCUCUGCGGCUCCUCCCCCUUCACAGGCCGCCGCGAGCAAGAGGUUUAGGCCGAUUGCCCCGAAACGGGCAGGGCCGGCGCCCAGCAGGUCCCCCUGCGGGGACAGACGCUGACCCCGAGGGCACCUGCUGCCUGCCCGGUUCCGGCCCAGGCUCUCCGGAUUAAUAGCAGCAACGAAACAAUAGUCAACGACCAUAUCGACAGGCAUGACUGUAAGUGGAUGUGAGUCGUACGUCCCUCAGGGGUGGCUGUGGAGCAUGCUGGUUACAGAGACUUGCCCUGUGGGAGACAGACCCUCACGCCCAUUGUACAGAUGAGGACCCUGAGGCUGGAGAGCGAAGACUCCUCCCAAGGUUACCAGCCGGUGCGUGGAGGCCUCGAUGUCCACAUCUGUGGAGUGUGCUUCUGCAGACCCGUCCUCCCCCUGCUGGGAACACGGUCUGGGCCACAGCAACCCGUGUGGACUAAGACAGAAAACUGGUACCCAGACGUGGGGUGCUGCUGUAGUCAACACGCAUAACUGUGGAAGUGGCUUUGGAACUGGGUGCUGGGUAGAGGCUGGAGGAGUCUGGGGUGAUUGCUAGAAAACGUCUGCACUGCCAGGACGGACCCCUACGGGCCAUUCUGCUGAGGGCCCGGAGGAAGAGGAGCGCUGCAGACGAAGCUGGCCCAGGACAAGGGGAGAGGCCCGAGGCGGUUCGCGGAUCAUCGGGGCUUCCCUCCCAUCCCAGAAUGCAAGGGUCUGGGUGGCAGGACGAUUUCAAAGGAGGAGCCACCCCUGCUCGCUCUGCCCGGGUGGGUCCCGGUCAGCGCCCCCUCUGGCUCCAGCAGGCCCCCAGCGGCGUGGGCUGUGCCCCAAAGCUGUGCGGGCAUGGCUGCCUCCACCUAGAUUUUGCAGCAGCUGCCAGCUCACAACCCAGGCAAGGGGCCACGUUGAGGGUAGGGUCACCAGGGAGAGUCCCCACCAGAGUGGUGCCCAGCAAAGCCAGGGGGCGGACAGAACCUUGGGGGCCCAACCGCUGCCCAGCAGAGCUUCGAAGGCAGGAACGCCACCCCAAUGUGUCCAGAAGGCAGAACCCCACACCCCAGGGGCUCUGGAAAGCGGGACACAGCCCCAGCAUGCCUGGAGGACAGAGCAUCUGGCCAGAGGGGAUUAUUCUAGAGCCUGAAGGCUUUGGACUCCUCAGGACCUGCCACUCCUUUUUUCUUUUCCACCUCUGUCCUAUGCCCGUCCUCUCGCGGUUGCAUUCUGGAAGCGCACGUUUGAUUUCACAGCUGGAGAGGAAUCGGCCGCAGAAUGGCGGCACCUUGAGUCUCACUCACAACUGACUUAGAGAAGGCUUUGGGCAUUAGACUUCUGCGUUGAUGCUGGAAGGAACUAAGACUUUUGAGGCUCUUGGGAUGGAACGCAUUUUGCAUGUGUGAACUUUGG
This is a long non-coding RNA of Equus asinus (donkey), 5711 nucleotides long. The record is from Ensembl. Lineage: Eukaryota; Metazoa; Chordata; Mammalia; Perissodactyla; Equidae.